This 233-nucleotide ribosomal RNA is filed under the name uncultured bacterium. Its description in RNAcentral is "partial 16S ribosomal RNA". It matches the Rfam family "Bacterial small subunit ribosomal RNA", at positions 100 to 334 of the family's 1533-position model. The record is from RNAcentral.
CGGGACGGGUGAGUAAUGUCUGGGAAACUGCCUGAUGGAGGGGGAUAACUACUGGAAACGGUAGCUAAUACCGCAUAACGUCGCAAGACCAAAGAGGGGGACCUUAGGGCCUCUUGCCAUCGGAUGUGCCCAGAUGGGAUUAGCUAGUAGGUGGGGCAACGGCUCACCUAGGCGACGAUCCCUAGCUGGUCUGAGAGGAUGACCAGCCACACUGGAACUGAGACACGGUCCAG